AUGAAGCCCAGCUUGCUGGGUGGAUUAGUGGCGAACGGGUGAGUAACACGUGGGUGAUCUGCCCUGCACUUCGGGAUAAGCCUGGGAAACUGGGUCUAAUACCGGAUAGGACCUUCUGCCGCAUGGUGGGGGGUGGAAAGGUUUUCCGGUGCAGGAUGGGCCCGCGGCCUAUCAGCUUGUUGGUGGGGUAACGGCCCACCAAGGCGACGACGGGUAGCCGGCCUGAGAGGGCGACCGGCCACACUGGGACUGAGACACGGCCCAGACUCCUACGGGAGGCAGCAGUGGGGAAUAUUGCACAAUGGGCGCAAGCCUGAUGCAGCGACGCCGCGUGAGGGAUGACGGCCUUCGGGUUGUAAACCUCUUUCAGUACCGACGAAGCGCAAGUGACGGUAGGUACAGAAGAAGCACCGGCCAACUACGUGCCAGCAGCCGCGGUAAUACGUAGGGUGCGAGCGUUGUCCGGAAUUACUGGGCGUAAAGAGCUCGUAGGCGGUUUGUCGCGUCGUCUGUGAAAACCCGCAGCUCAACUGCGGGCUUGCAGGCGAUACGGGCAGACUUGAGUACUGCAGGGGAGACUGGAAUUCCUGGUGUAGCGGUGAAAUGCGCAGAUAUCACGAGGAACACCGGUGGCGAAAGCGGGUCUCUGGGCAGUAACUGACGCUGAGGAGCGAAAGCGUGGGUAGCGAACAG
RNAcentral lists this ribosomal RNA (693 nucleotides) under Rhodococcus sp. (in: high G+C Gram-positive bacteria). RNAcentral describes it as "bacterial SSU rRNA". It matches the Rfam family "Bacterial small subunit ribosomal RNA", at positions 69 to 775 of the family's 1533-position model. The record is from RNAcentral. Lineage: Bacteria; Bacillati; Actinomycetota; Actinomycetes; Mycobacteriales; Nocardiaceae.